GCGGAAGUGUGGCGUGGCCACGUGUGCGGGCCAUGGCGGGCGGGCUGGAGCCGCACCUGGAGGCGCUGCGGCGGGAGCUGCACGGUCCUGCCGUGCUCUCCGUGCUCGUCGCGCUCAUCGUCGUCACCGUCACCUUCCUGAUCUGGCGGUUCGUGCAGGGCAGGCGGAGCAGCCGCAAGGCCGUGCUGCUGCUGGGGCUCUGCGAUGCGGGGAAGACGCUGCUUUUCGCGCGGCUGCUGUCGGGGCGGUACCGCGACACCCAGACCUCCAUCACUGACAGCUCUGCCGUCUACAGGGUCAGCCCAGACAAGAGCACAAAUGUGACCUUGAUCGACCUUCCAGGCCAUGAAAGUCUGAGGCUGCAGUUCUUGGAGAGGUUCAAGGCCGCAGCCAGAGCCAUCGUGUUUGUGGUGGACAGCGUGGCCUUCCAGCGGGAGGUGAAGGAUGUGGCAGAGUUCCUGUACCAGGUGCUGGUGGACAGCACCGUGCUCAGGAACGCGCCUGCGCUGCUCAUCGCAUGCAACAAGCAAGAUGUCACAAUGGCAAAAUCGGCAAAACUCAUCCAGCAACAGUUGGAGAAAGAGCUCAAUACCCUGCGGGUGACGUGCUCUGCAGCCCCCACCAGCCUGGAUGGCUCAGCCACAGGGGGCCCUGCCCAGCUGGGAAAGAAGGGCAAAGACUUUGACUUCUCCCAGCUGCCCAUGAAGGUGGAGUUUGUGGAGUGCAGUGCUCGAGGCAGCAAGGGAGAGGAGGGAGAAGCUGACUUGGAGGGCCUUGAGAAGUGGCUGGUGAAGGUGGCCUGAACAGAGAUGAACAGGGCUGGGGGGCUGAAGGGAAAAAGAUGGUGUGGAGCACUCAAAUCUCAUCUUGAUGUAAAAAGAAGGAACUUCAGCUGGAAGUCAGCACUGUGUUGUCUUCCUCUGCUGCUCGUGGGCUUGGGAGCGACGUGACAAUUGCUGGUGUGAUUCCCUCUGACUGUCCCUUCAUGCUGCAAUGUUUUUAUUCUCUCCCCUCUUCCCUUGCCCUCUUCUUUGCUGCUGAACCUCUGAGCUUUUCUUUUUCCUUAAUCUUUAGGCUUUUCAUUUGGUAGUUGCAAAGCAAAUUAGGAAGGAAUGUGCUGGCAGGUGAGGUUUAGAGACUGGAGUGUGCCUCUCAUUUCUUCCUGCCAUGGUUUAGAUCCUUCCCUCUCAAAGCCACUGACCACCUUGUGGUGGGGGGCUGUGGGGAGCACUACACAGGGUCCCUGUGUUGGGCAGGCAUUGAGAGAGUAUAAAAUGCUGGUUUCCUCUUUGUGUCUGCCUUUCCAUCGUUCCAAACUGGUGCAGCCCCAUUUCUGUGGGGCUGGAGGGGUGUGAAAUGCCCAAACCAGACUGCCUGCCCAGCCUUACUCCCUGGGCUCAGCUCUCUGCACACAUCUAGUGAUUUCCUCUCUUGAUCAGCUCCUGGGAGGUUUUUUUUCAGCUGAGGGCUGUGUCCUGAAAGCUUCAUUCUGCUUCUCCUUCCAGGCUCCUCCCACAGCCAGGAACAAACUAAGAGUGGCAGAGCUACAGGGGGUCAUGGCGUCAAACUGAGAUGGGCAGAGUUUUAGAUCCAUACCUGCACCUGGGUCCUGCUGUGCCAGGCAUUUGCUGUCAGUCUCCUGCUGCCUCCUGCUCCAGUGGCUGCAGAAGGAUUUCCUUUGUGUGUCAUUAGACAGCACUUGUGGCAAAGUGAGGGGGAAAGUCAAGGAGCUGCCAGCACGUGGGUAUGAUUCCUCCUUCUGGCAGAGAUGCUGAAGGAAGAGGGGAAACAAAUGGGAGAUUUUCCCAGUUUGUGUCUCACUGCACAUUGCAGAGCCCUUGUGCAGUGACAUUUUCCCUUUGUUUGUGGCUUCACCUGGUGUUUUAGGGUUGGCUAGCUUCUGGCAGACCAUUUUUGUAGUUUGUAGCCCCCUCUCCCCUGUGGUUUGAUGCUUCUUUCAUAACUCAUCUGUUGUGUUCUUUUGCUUCUCUGGGGCUUUUCCUGCCUCCCUGCACCAUUGCCAAGUGUUGGGAAGAGCAGGAACAGCCUUCAGCAAAGCCCCAUGCCUGUGAUGAAGCUGGUCCUUGCAUUUCCAGCCUCGAGAGUCAUCCAUAACAGAGGUGGGAGGGUUAUAUUUACCAAACAUGGCAUAUUCUGUUUCCUCCAGGCAGAGUUCUGUUGGAACAUGUUUAGCAUGCUUUGAACUCCUUUAGUUGGAGGUGUUGGGCUGCCUGCUUCAAAACCAUAAUGCUGAAGUGAUUUUGGGCAAAAAGACUGUUGUUUCUUUGGGUGAUUGCUCAUGCAAAGACACAGAGGCCAAGCACCAGCCUCAGCUUAAGGGGAGGAAAGUACCAUGAAGCCAUGGUGGGUUUUAAGUUAUUCUUUUAAAAAAUACUUCUUAAGUAAAUUCUUUUUUGCUUAAAUGUUCUCAAGUCUUGCUUCAGUCUGUGUGUUUGCCGUGGCUCUUCCCAGCAGUAUCAGAUCCACGUGGAUGGGGCUCUGCUCCUGCUCAGCACAGCGCUGGGGAUCAACCUUCCUGCUCUGUGGCCAGCUGAAAAUUAAUCAGCCAAAAGCGUGGGGAAAUGGAUCUGGGCUCUGUCCAGAGCUACACAAACAGAUGUGUGAACAGCCACAGCUGGAAACACCACACAGACACAAACUGAAAGUGGGCAUGUUCCCAAACAACUGUGGAAGUUCAGAGGACAACCCCAAAUCUGCCCUCUCUUCCCUCACUCCCCAAAGGAGCGCAUCUGCUGGUGUCACACAGCCUGAAUCCUGCAGGAAUGUGGCCCUGAGGAGGUGCCCUUGGGCAGGGUGGGAUGGGGCUGCUCCACCUCCUGUGGGAAGAUGCCAUCAGAAAUCUCUUGCUGGUAGUGCCCUGGGAAAUGAGCUCAAUGCACUUGACAUCAAGCCUUGGCCACAUAUAAAAGUCAUUUUUAUCCUAAGGAGUCGUGGUAAAAGCCAAAAAUAUCCACUGAGGUGAGGAGAAAGAUGAUGUCCAGCUAGAACACUGGGAGCAUAUGAAGUAAUGUGGACACAAUAUUCCUAAUUUUCCCCUAAAAAUCCAGAGUGAAAAAUUACACCCUGCUUGUUUGGCCCAGAAGACCAUGGAUAAAAGUCCUCCUGAGCUCUCUGGGCUGUGAAGCAUCCGGAUCUCCUCCAUGCACUGGGGAUCAAGGAGCAAGAAGCAGCAUGGUGAUAUCUUCUGCCCCUCCACCAGCGUGUAUCCCUCCCCAGGGGUAAGAGCUGGAGAAACAAGGAGCUGGGAUCAGCACCUGCAUUACCUGGGGUGGUAGAUGCCCUCGAUGUGCCCUGUGGAGCAGCCCAUGAAGAAAAGGGGCAGGCAGAGGAGGAUGGAGAAGACGAGCACGACCACGGCGAAGCGCGGGAUGGCACGCAGGGAGAAGGAGAAGCGCUUCAUGAUGAUCCCUCCCAGCAGCAUCCCGAGUGCCGCUGCUGGCAGGUUGACAGCUCCUGCAGAGGAAUGGAGCCAUCAGGGGGUCCUGCCUGCCCAGAACCCCUCCAUGGGCAGGGGGCAGUUCUCUGGACCUUACAGAUCCAACUGUUGUCCAAGACAGCCCAAACCCAAGGCAGCUGGGGGACCACAGGUCAGGAAAGUCACCAACUACCCCAAGGCGAACCCCAGGUCUCAUCCAAAAAUGAGCUUUCAGUGACUCCUCUGUGAUUUAAACAGCCUGUGGAAUAUGGGCAGUUGGCUCCCUGCUGAUGGGUAUUUUUUGCCUCCAUCCAUGCUCACCUAUGAGGAAGUUGGCCUGUGAGGGGGAAGCACCGUACUGCUUCUCCAGGAAUUUGUUGAGGAAGGUGGCCAGACCCGCAAUGACGGAGGAGAAGCUGCACUGAGCCAGCACCAGGAGGAUGAAGAGGGGGUUGAGCAGCAGCCUGAGGAAGAUCUUUGGGAAUCCUACAGGGAAACCAUAGGAAAAAUAUCUUUUAGCUGUGUGAUCCUCACACCAGUAAUUUGUACUGGGAAGAAACCCCCACCCUUAGCCUGUUCCCAGGAAGGAUGUCUGUGGUUUGAUGAUCUACUGGGGAUGUCUGCAGACAUGGGAAAGUGGGAGGGGAGACACCUUAAUGUGUCCCAGCAGCUGGCAGGACCCUGGAUGUGUUUUCCUGGUGAGACACUGUGUCCUCUGGCCCCAUCAACAGAGGCAGAUGGACCCUGGGAGAAACUCUGUUUAUUUCUUCUCUUAUGAGUUUUCUAAUUAGCAGAGAGUGAUGGAGAGCCAGCAUCCAUUAAAGCCUAAAGAGAGGAGAAGAGGGAACUGGCAGCUCCAGGAUAUGACUGCAGUGCAGGAAGAGGCAAGGAGGGAGGGACCUUAAAUGGGCAGAAAUCCUCCUGGAGCUAAAAGACUCAUUAAUCUGGUCCCUCAGCAGUGACAUCCCUCUCAAGCCUGUUUUGGCUCCACAUAAACAGUGUCAACUGCAGUGGGGUGACCUUGUCGAGGAGCUGGUGGCGCCAGCGGCCCCAUGCCCACUCCUCCCAGCGACACUUUUCCGGCACACUCACACCAUUUCAAGGUCCUCAAAGCAAAAUUUGGAAACAGUUCAGGCCCCACAGAAGAGGGGCCUCAAGGGGUAUGUAGCCAGAGGGAGGCUGUGCCCACCUUCCCAUGGUCCUUAUGCCCUUGUGGUGCCAGAGCUGGUCUGCACACACUGCUGGGCUCCCAAGGACUCCCAGUAAACCCCUUGGUGCGAAUCUGCUGGUGGGAUGGCCCCCACCCACCCACCCAGCAUGGCCUGGUACGGCCAGGCAUCCCCAUCCACCCUCGGCUGGACCUGCCAGGAGUUUACUUUUUAUAAACUGUAGCAGGGAGGUCUCUUCAGCAGCCCCUGUCUCCAUCUUCCUGAGCAUGCCGGCCUCCGUGUUCCGCUCCUGGGAGGGGAGAGAGGAGCAGCCUGUGGUGAGGGGGGUGGCACUGUCCUGGUGCAGGGAGGCUCAGGAGGGACAGGGCCUGUCUCAGGGGCCUUUCACCCCGAGCCAAGCCUGACAAUUACAGCUAAGCCCCAUCCCACAUGCACUGAUCACCUCUCCAGGCUGGGAGAGCUGGGAGUGUUCACCUAGAGAAGAGAAGGCUCUGGGGAGAGCCCCUUCCAGGGCCUAAAGGAGCUCCAAGAGAACUGGAGAGGGACUUGGGACAAGGGCCUGGAGCACCAGGACAUGGGGGAAUGGCUUCCCACUGCCACUAUGGUUAGAUGGGAUCUUGGGGACAAAUUCUGGAGGAGGUGAGGCCCUGGCGUAGGCUGCUCAGAGAAGCUUUGGCUGCUCCAACCCUGAAGGUUGGACGGGUCUUGGAGCAGUGGUCUGGACUAGUGGAAGGUGUCCCUGCCAUGGCAGGGAUGGAACAGGAUGAGCUUUAAGGUCCUUCCAACCCAAACCAUUCCAGGAUUCUGUGAUUAAAGGGGUGAGUUAUCUCAAAUAUCACUGCAGCCCCUGAGCAGAGCAGCAGGACAGCAGCUUGUUGUUGGGAGCUUUUAGGAACUUGUAAUUCUUUUCUCCCCUGAAUCCUGACAAAACACCUCUCUUAACUUUUCAAAAAGUCUGAAAAUUAAAGUUAGAGAUAGUUCAGCACAAGUCUGGGGAGUCCUUUAACCAUAACUGUGAAAUAUUUUGGGUUUGAUUUCAAUGAAUAAACAAUUUCAAAACAGAA
RNA transcript from Parus major (Great Tit), 5669 nucleotides. It is a transcript of the gene named SRP receptor subunit beta, with no coding region annotated. NCBI's taxonomy places the organism in Eukaryota, Metazoa, Chordata, Aves, Passeriformes, Paridae. The transcript is spliced from 8 exons. The record is from RefSeq and is a predicted model, not a curated record.